CAGCAGCCGCGGUAAUACGUAGGUGGCAAGCGUUGUCCGGAAUUAUUGGGCGUAAAGGGCUCGCAGGCGGUUUCUUAAGUCUGAUGUGAAAGCCCCCGGCUCAACCGGGGAGGGUCAUUGGAAACUGGGAAACUUGAGUGCAGAAGAGGAGAGUGGAAUUCCACGUGUAGCGGUGAAAUGCGUAGAGAUGUGGAGGAACACCAGUGGCGAAGGCGACUCUCUGGUCUGUAACUGACGCUGAGGAGCGAAAGCGUGGGGAGCGAACAGGAUUAGAGACCCCGGUAGUCCCUGUCUCUUAUAC
Molecule: ribosomal RNA, 301 nt
Filed under: uncultured bacterium
Lineage: Bacteria
Description: partial 16S ribosomal RNA
Rfam family: Bacterial small subunit ribosomal RNA
Source: RNAcentral